Long non-coding RNA from Herpailurus yagouaroundi (jaguarundi), 408 nucleotides. RefSeq lists it as uncharacterized. The transcript has 2 exons. The record is from RefSeq and is a predicted model, not a curated record. NCBI's taxonomy places the organism in Eukaryota, Metazoa, Chordata, Mammalia, Carnivora, Felidae.
CCCGCUCUCCCGCCAGGCUCCGGCGCGCCCCUCUCUGCGCUCCUCAGGCUCUGGGGCUCCGAGCGCUCCCCGCGCUCCCACGCCCUGGCUUCGAAGUUGCGAGACAGAAGGAUCGUGGUCAUCUCUUCUGACUCACCCACCCCACACCCCUCGUUGGACCAGAAUGGACCUGAAGCCCAGAGAGGGUAGGAACUUGCCAGAAGUCGCACAGCGCGACAAACGGCCUAUGCUACAUAGCCCUAUCUUUCUGACUCCUGAAGCCCAGAGAGGGUAGGAACUUGCCGGAAGUUGCACAGCGCGACAAAUGGCCUAUGCUAUGUAGCCCUGUCUUUCUGACUCCCAGUCUUUGUUCACCCAAGUGAUUUUCAGUCUUAUCAUCGUAAUAAAAUCCAGUGUGCUUUUAGCGUU